GCACCGGUGGUCUAGUGGUAUGACCUCAGCCUUCCAAGCUGAUGGUGAGGGUUCGAUUCCCUCCCGGUGCA
RNAcentral lists this transfer RNA (71 nucleotides) under Candidatus Woesearchaeota archaeon. RNAcentral describes it as "tRNA-Gly". It matches the Rfam family "tRNA". From Rfam's summary of the family: Transfer RNA (tRNA) molecules are approximately 80 nucleotides in length. Their secondary structure includes four short double-helical elements and three loops (D, anti-codon, and T loops). Further hydrogen bonds mediate the characteristic L-shaped molecular structure. tRNAs have two regions of fundamental functional importance: the anti-codon, which is responsible for specific mRNA codon recognition, and the 3' end, to which the tRNAs corresponding amino acid is attached (by aminoacyl-tRNA synthetases). tRNAs cope with the degeneracy of the genetic code in two manners: having more than one tRNA (with a specific anti-codon) for a particular amino acid; and 'wobble' base-pairing, i.e. permitting non-standard base-pairing at the 3rd anti-codon position. Lineage: Archaea; Nanobdellati; Candidatus Woesearchaeota. The record is from RNAcentral.